GACGAACGCUGGCGGCGUGCUUAACACAUGCAAGUCGAACGGAAAGGCCCUGCUUUUGUGGGGUGCUCGAGUGGCGAACGGGUGAGUAACACGUGAGUAACCUGCCCUUGACUUUGGGAUAACUUCAGGAAACUGGGGUUAAUACCGGAUAGGAGCUCCUGCUGCAUGGUGGGGGUUGGAAAGUUUCGGCGGUUGGGGAUGGACUCGCGGCUUAUCAGCUUGUUGGUGGGGUAGUGGCUUACCAAGGCUUUGACGGGUAGCCGGCCUGAGAGGGUGACCGGCCACAUUGGGACUGAGAUACGGCCCAGACUCCUACGGGAGGCAGCAGUGGGGAAUAUUGCACAAUGGGCGGAAGCCUGAUGCAGCAACGCCGCGUGCGGGAUGACGGCCUUCGGGUUGUAAACCGCUUUCGCCUGUGACGAAGCGUGAGUGACGGUAAUGGGUAAAGAAGCACCGGCUAACUACGU
Molecule: ribosomal RNA, 467 nt
Filed under: uncultured bacterium
Lineage: Bacteria
Description: partial 16S ribosomal RNA
Rfam family: Bacterial small subunit ribosomal RNA
Source: RNAcentral